RNAcentral lists this RNase P RNA (398 nucleotides) under Rhizobium leguminosarum bv. viciae. RNAcentral describes it as "RNase P RNA component class A". It matches the Rfam family "Bacterial RNase P class A". From Rfam's summary of the family: Ribonuclease P (RNase P) is a ubiquitous endoribonuclease, found in archaea, bacteria and eukarya as well as chloroplasts and mitochondria. RNAcentral also lists the same sequence under 7 other names. Lineage: Bacteria; Pseudomonadati; Pseudomonadota; Alphaproteobacteria; Hyphomicrobiales; Rhizobiaceae. The record is from RNAcentral.
CCAGUUGGCUGGGCAGCCGCGCUCUAUCAAUGCCGAAAGGCGGUAGGGUGAGGAAAGUCCGGGCUCCACGGAAACACGGUGCCGGAUAACGUCCGGCGAGGGCGACCUCAGGGAAAGUGCCACAGAAAGCAAACCGCCUGUCAUGACAGGUAAGGGUGAAAGGGUGGGGUAAGAGCCCACCGCAUCUCCGGCAACGGAAAUGGCACGGUAAACCCCACCGGGAGCAAGACCGAAUAGGGAUGACGCGGCAGGCCGAAAGGCCUUCCGGCCGGUUUCCAGGCCAGUCAUCCGGGUGGGUUGCGCGAGGCAGCGUGCGAACGCUGUCCCAGAGGAAUGGCUGCCACGUUCCGGUUCACGCCGGAGCCAUACAGAACCCGGCUUACAGGCCAACUGGCGAU